CACGUAGGGGGCAAGCGUUGUCCGGAUUUAUUGGCGUAAAGAGCUCGUAGGUGGUUCGGUAAGUCGGGUGUUAAACCCCCAGGCUCAACCUGGGGACGCCACUCGAUACUGCUGUGACUAGAGUCCGGUAGGGGAGCGUGGAAUUCCUGGUGUAGCGGUGAAAUGCGCAGAUAUCAGGAGGAACACCAGCGGCGAAGGCGGCGCUCUGGGCCGGUACUGACACUGAGGAGCGAAAGCGUGGGGAGCAAACAGG
RNAcentral lists this ribosomal RNA (253 nucleotides) under uncultured bacterium. RNAcentral's name for it is "partial 16S ribosomal RNA". It matches the Rfam family "Bacterial small subunit ribosomal RNA", at positions 524 to 776 of the family's 1533-position model. The record is from RNAcentral.